This 465-nucleotide ribosomal RNA is filed under the name uncultured bacterium. RNAcentral's name for it is "SSU rRNA". It matches the Rfam family "Bacterial small subunit ribosomal RNA", at positions 26 to 518 of the family's 1533-position model. The record is from RNAcentral.
AGGACGAACGCUGGCGGCGCGCCUAAUACAUGCAAGUCGAACGGGUACCUCUUCGGAGGUGCUAGUGGCGGACGGGUGAGUAACACGUGGGCGACCUGCCUUUGAGUGGGGAAUAACGCUGGGAAACCAGCGCUAAUACCGCAUGCGCUCGCUGUUUCAUUACGGCGAGGAAAGCUUAAUGCGCUCAAAGAGGGGCCUGCGGCGGAUUAGCUAGUCGGUGGGGUAACGGCCUACCGAGGCAUCGAUCCGUAGCUGGUCUGAGAGGAUGAUCAGCCACACUGGGACUGAGACACGGCCCAGACUCCUACGGGAGGCAGCAGUAAGGAAUCUUCCACAAUGGGGGCAACCCUGAUGGAGCGACGCCGCGUGGACGAAGAAGCUUCUCGGAGUGUAAAGUCCUUUUCCCCGCGAUGAGAGGGACAGUAGCGGGGAAUAAGCCACGGCUAACUACGUGCCAGCAGCCGC